GCUCACACGCCCGGGAAGCGGCCGCCGCGGAGCCGGCGUCCGCAGCGGCUGCGCAUCUCGGGCCUGCAGCGGGGCGCUUGGCGGGCGGGGGCCGGGGGAGAGCCUGUUUGCGCAGUACCCCCGGAGGGCGGAAGGCCGCCGAGAGAAACAGCAAGUGACAGAGCAGAGGAACGGCUGGCCCAGCCAAUCCUGGAGCUGCUGUUGCAGCACUUGUUCCCCAAACAAGUGCUCCUACAUUCUGAGGACUCAGGAGAGUGCAGCUUGCUCUGUGAGUGGGUGACAACCUCUUGGCGACUCAGGCUCAGCUGAGGAUGGUGCCAGUGUGCCGGAGACAGCCGUCAUACUGCCGGAUAGAGUGGCUCACUUGCAUGUAUUUGGAACAAAAAAAGGAGAUGCCUGGCAGCCCCGCUCUCUGCAGUGCUGUUGAGCCACCAAUUUUUGUGGUUUUGUGACCACAAGUGCUGACUGAUGCGACAUGACCCCAGUCUUGUCAGUGAAUCAUCACCAGGCUGCUUACUGGAAACUGGAUGCAGCAAGGAAAUAGGAUUUAACCGCUCUCUGCCUCCCAGGAGCCCUGAAAUCAGCAUUCCCAGAGGAAAGAAGAUGGCCAUCUGGGCUUGGCUUCCGGCUCCCCCCAUCUGGCUGGAACACACAUCAGUCACGGCUGUCCGUCUCCCAGAUGCUGCUCUUCAGGGCUCCUGGCGCCAGUGCUGAGGUGACAGAGCAAAGGUCUGAAAACUGGCCCCUUCACGCAGCAGUGUCCAAAGCGGGGGGCAUGGCACACCCCCUCUGGCUUCCACAUGGCGGGCACAGGCCACAGGCACAGGAUCUCUGCAGAAACCAGGCAGUGGAACAACGCCAACCCCACACUCUCGGGUGCCUGUGUGUGCCACGUCUCAUCCUGGGCCAUCUCCUCUUGGAUCUGCCAGGCGUGUUGGCGAUGAGGACCCUGCGGCAGUGGUUGGGCUCCACCAGCAAGUGGUAAAGCUGGAACUUCUAAAAGGACAAGUCCGGGAGUGACUGCCCCUGCCGGCUGCAGGAGGGCAGGGUCUUCAAGCUGGCUGGGGUGCCGCGCCUGGCCACCACUUCUUUCAUUCUCAGUAUUGGUUAAUUUGCGUCUUUUUUUGUCAGUCUGGCUACAGGUUUACACACUUUAUUGAUCUCCAAGUAGCAACUGUUGGUUUCACUGAUUUCCUCUAUUUUUUUUUCUUUUCUCAAUUUCAUUGAUUUUGGCUCUAUUUUUAUCAUUUCCUUACAUCUGCUAGUUUGGGAUUUAACUUGCUCUUUUUUAGUUUCUUAAGGUGGAAAAUUAGAUCAUUGAUUUGAGACUUUUCUUUUUUUCUAACACAAGUAUAUUAUGCUAUACAUUCCCCUGUAAGCAAUGCUUUAGCUGCAUCCUACAUAUUUGGAUAUUUUGAGAUGUUGUGUUUUUAUUCAAUUCAAAACACUUUCUAAUCUCCCUGCUGACUACUUCUUUUAUGCAUGGGUUAUUUAGAAGUGUCCUGUACACUUUCCAAUUCUUUGGGGAUUGGCUUUGUUAUUGAUUUCUGCUUUCAUUCUAUUGUGAUAAUGCAUGUUGAAUGAUUUCAAUUUUCUGAAGUUUGUUAAAAGUUGUCUUAUUGUCUAGAAUAUGGUCUACUUUGGAGAAUGUUUCAUGUGUACUUGGGGAGUAUAUACUUUUAAAUCACUGUUAUUCAGUGAUUUCUUUCUUUAAAUGGGCAAGUCCCCUACAUGGUCUUCAUACUUUUGGUCACUCCAGAGUGCCUUAAACAUUUGGUCUUUAAAAAAAAAAUUUUUUUUAUCCAGAGUUUAUCAUUUUUAUUUGUGAGACGAUUAGUCUGUCACAGUUUACCACUACCAUAGCCAGAACUCUUAGAUUUCUUGUAAUACAAGAUGAAACUUUCUUUAAGCCAGUGUGUAUUUUUUUUUUUUGGUUCUUUCAAACAAAAACUUCUAACUCAUGCAGGUACACAGUAGUUCACACUGUAUAAAAUGAAAUGCCAAGAACAUGUAGGGGUGAGAAAUAGGGAACUCUAGCUAGAACUAUUUUUUGACUUGAAUUGACCUGAAUUAAAAUAAAUUAGAAACCAAUUAUACAGGAGGAGGAAGCACAUACACCUGCUUUGUUUAUCUGUAGAUGAAACUAUUUACAAAAUGUUUCCAUAGUAUUUACAAAUGAAGAAGGAAAUAAAUUGAAACACUACCUUUACACUCUGGAGCAGCACGACUCCACACUGAAUUGUCACCACAAUAAAUCGUGCUCUCUCCAAUAAGUGAAAAUGGAUCUGGUCCAGGUGCAGGAUCACAACUAUAAGUUACUGCAUCAAGAUACUCAAAUACUUCUACUUCACUAAAGGUGUGUUUUCCAUUUUUUAUUUUUGGAGGUGGUGUACACAAAACCUCUUAAAAAUGAAGAAAAAGAGGAAAGGAAAUGUAAAAGAUUAAGACAGCAUUAGUAAAAUUUCUGUGUCUUCAAUAAAUUUGUCAAUAUAGGGUUUCUACAAGCUGUUUGUGAAUUCAAUAUGGAUUUAAAAGAAGGUUUCUAUGAGCAAAUAUAUCAUCCCAAAUUCAAACCAUUAAUGUAGUAACUAACUUUCAGAACAAAUCUCAUUUUCUUAAAGUGUAAAUACCUAUUGAUAUGGUUUGGAUCUGUGUCCCCACCAAAUCGCAUGUCAAAUUGUAGUCCACAAUGUUGGAGGUGGGGCCUGGUGGGAGGGGUCUGAAUCAUGGGGGUGGAUUUCUCAUGAAUGGUUUAGCACCGUCCCCUUGGUGCUGUUCUCGUGAUACUGAGUGCUUGGGAGAUCUGGUUAUUUAAAAGUGCGCAACACCUCCCGUCCUCCCCACCUUGCUCCUCCUGCUCCUGCCAUGUGAGACACCUUGCUCUCCUUCUGUCUUUCCCAAUGGUUGUUAAGUUUCCCGAGGCCUACCCAAACCCCCAGCAGAUGCCAGCACCAUGCUUCCUGUACAGCUUGUAGAAACAUGAGCCAAUUAAACUUCUUUU
RNAcentral lists this long non-coding RNA (3001 nucleotides) under Homo sapiens (human). RNAcentral describes it as "MIR29B2 and MIR29C host gene". The record is from RNAcentral. Lineage: Eukaryota; Metazoa; Chordata; Mammalia; Primates; Hominidae.